RNAcentral lists this ribosomal RNA (496 nucleotides) under uncultured bacterium. Its description in RNAcentral is "partial 16S ribosomal RNA". It matches the Rfam family "Bacterial small subunit ribosomal RNA", at positions 30 to 523 of the family's 1533-position model. The record is from RNAcentral.
AUUGAACGCUGGCGGAAUGCUUUACACAUGCAAGUCGAACGGUAGAGGGGGCAACCCCUCGAGAGUGGCGAACGGGUGAGUAAUAUAUCGGAACGUGCCCAGUCGUGGGGGAUAACGUAGCGAAAGUUACGCUAAUACCGCAUACGAUCUACGGAUGCAAGCGGGGGAUCGCAAGACCUCGCGCGAUUGGAGCGGCCGAUAUCAGAUUAGGUAGUUGGUGGGGUAAAGGCUCACCAAGCCAACGAUCUGUAGCUGGUCUGAGAGGACGACCAGCCACACUGGAACUGAGACACGGUCCAGACUCCUACGGGAGGCAGCAGUGGGGAAUUUUGGACAAUGGGCGAAAGCCUGAUCCAGCAAUGCCGCGUGUGUGAAGAAGGCCUUCGGGUUGUAAAGCACUUUUGUCCGGAAAGAAAUGGCUCUGGUUAAUACCUGGGGUCGAUGACGGUACCGGAAGAAUAAGGACCGGCUAACUACGUGCCAGCAGCCGCCGUAA